GAUGAACGCUGGCGGCGCGCCUAACACAUGCAAGUCGAACGGUUAAGGCCCCCUUUAGGGGGCGCAUAGAGUGGCGAACGGGUGAGUAACACGUGACCAACCCGCCCCCCCCCACCGGGACAACCUCGGGAAACCGAGGCUAAUACCGGAUACGCCGGGGCCCCCCGCAUGGGGGCUCCGGGAAAGCCUUGGCGGGGAGGGGACGGGGUCGCGGCCCAUCAGGUAGACGGCGGGGCGAGGCCCCGCCGUGCCGACGACGGGUAGCCGGGCUGAGAGGCCGAUCGCCCACAUUGGGACUGAGACCGGCCCCAGACCCCUACGGGAGGAAGAGGUGGGGAAUAUUGCCGCAAGGGGCGAAAGCUUGCCGCACGACGCCCGUGCGGGAAGGAGCCUUCGGGCCGUAAACCGCUUUCAGAGGAAAAAGCCUGACGGUCCCUGCGGAAGAGCCCCGGUUAAUUACGUCCAGCACCGGGGGUAUACUUAGGGGGCGAGCGUUACCGAUUCAUUGGGGUAAAGCGCGCGAGGCGCCCGCAAGCGCCUCGUCGAGCCGGGCUCACCCCCGGAGCACCCGAACUGCGGCUUGAGUGGGAGGGGAGGAUGAAUUCCGGUGUGCGUGAAUGCGCAGAUUCGGAAGAACACCGACGCGAAGCAGCCUUUGGCUUCACUGAGUGAGGCCGAAAGUGGGGAGCAACAGAUAAUACCUGGAGUCAAGGCGAAUCCAAGUGAAUCAGCUUACGAACGUCACUCAGGGGGCCGAACCAGUUUGUCCUUAGAGGUUAUUAG
RNAcentral lists this ribosomal RNA (783 nucleotides) under uncultured Streptococcus sp. Its description in RNAcentral is "bacterial SSU rRNA". It matches the Rfam family "Bacterial small subunit ribosomal RNA", at positions 28 to 794 of the family's 1533-position model. The record is from RNAcentral. Lineage: Bacteria; Bacillati; Bacillota; Bacilli; Lactobacillales; Streptococcaceae.